Long non-coding RNA from Dermacentor silvarum, 1174 nucleotides. RefSeq lists it as uncharacterized. The transcript is spliced from 4 exons. The record is from RefSeq and is a predicted model, not a curated record. Lineage: Eukaryota; Metazoa; Arthropoda; Arachnida; Ixodida; Ixodidae.
CGCUGCCUGCCGUGCUCCCCUCGCGACGGAAUGCGCGCCUCCGCCGCCGCCACCGUGCAGCGUGCGGGUUCUUCGCCGUUGUUGCUUCUGCUGCCGAUGCCAGCAGCCACGGGCGCGCUGCUGCGGCCGUAGCGGCGAUGGAGGGGAGAGGACCGAUACAAUUAGGAGAGCGGCUCAUUUGCGCGCGCGAUCAAUGCGAGACGCGCAACACGAGACCUAAAUCACGCUCGCCGCCGCUCCUUGGAUCGUAGCAGACGAAAAAUGUGCAACCGCAUGGGGGGCUGACACCAUGAGUGCAUCGUACUAGGCCGGUGCGUCGUAAUGGAGCUCUGGGAUCGGAAAGCGAGGAAGGGCCGGCCAUGACCUGAGGAGUAGCAGAGGCGCGUAGCACUUCCUCACCUCGCCGUGUGCCGUUCGGAUGCGCGGUAUGCGUUUCCUGAACUUGGGAGCCCGGAGACCUCGCUGCCUUGGGGGCGAAACAGCGCGGUCGCUGACGCGUCGCGAUGAACGGCUGGGCGACGAAGCGGCGGCCACGUGACAGCGCAGAGCAAGUGGCAGCUGGCCGGGAAAGUCAUCGACAGCCGCGAACAAUGGCUCUUUUCGGGUGCGCAGCCGCCGUUCAUGCAGUUUCCUGUCCUCGGAAAUAGGGCGUUGCGUGCCUGGCAUGUAAGGAAGCACCUUGCUGACCUGUUCGGAACGACAACUGCCUUGGACACCAAGAUCACCAAGAAGGCAGUCACUUAGUAGCUUGCCGAGUUUGCAACGACUGGUGGUGACCAACCUGUUUUAUCACCACCAGGUGACAAAAUCAGCUGACAACAUCAGGUUAUGUAAUUCAUGCUGAUUCACACCUGGAUUACAUGAGAAAGAAGAAGACGGCGUGAAGACGUGGCUCACAGCAAAGGAAUUCCCACAAACAACAAGCACUCUGCGUCCGGCAUUCGCGCUGCUUAUUUCAUUUUUUUUUUCGUAUGCCGUCUACCGACCAGCCACCAUGAGCAUAAUCUUGUAUGACGCACCGUGAAUUCCAUCGACACAUGAAUUCGUAUGUAAUUUUAUACUUUGCAUUCUAGCGUUCACGCGACGUAGCCGCUCAGUAGUAUAGCGACCUUGUAAUUAAAAGCUUGACAUCACUUGGAUGCAGCAAUCCCCGCACAUGUGUUCUUCUUUGCAA